AGAAAGUGAUGAUGAUAAAGUUAUCCCUGGCUGAAUGCUGAUGAAAACUUUCUUCUGAUUCUUCA
Molecule: small nucleolar RNA, 65 nt
Organism: Encephalitozoon hellem ATCC 50504
Lineage: Eukaryota; Fungi; Microsporidia; Unikaryonidae
Product: small nucleolar RNA R38
Exons: 1
Source: RefSeq, a predicted model, not a curated record